UGGAUCCAGACUUUGAUCAUGGCUCAGGAUGAACGCUAGCUACAGGCUUAACACAUGCAAGUCGAGGGGAAACGACAUCGAAAGCUUGCUUUUGAUGGGCGUCGACCGGCGCACGGGUGAGUAACGCGUAUCCAACCUGCCCACCACUUGGGGAUAACCUUGCGAAAGUAAGACUAAUACCCAAUGAUAUCUCUAGAAGACAUCUGAAAGAGAUUAAAGAUUUAUCGGUGAUGGAUGGGGAUGCGUCUGAUUAGCUUGUUGGCGGGGUAACGGCCCACCAAGGCUACGAUCAGUAGGGGUUCUGAGAGGAAGGUCCCCCACAUUGGAACUGAGACACGGUCCAAACUCCUACGGGAGGCAGCAGUGAGGAAUAUUGGUCAAUGGACGAGAGUCUGAACCAGCCAAGUAGCGUGCAGGAUGACGGCCCUAUGGGAUGUAAACUGCUUUUAUAAGGGAAUAAAGUGAGUCUCGUGAGACUUUUUGCAUGUACCUUAUGAAUAAGGACCGGCUAAUUCCGUGCCAGCAGCCGCGGUAAUACGGAAGGUCCGGGCGUUAUCCGGAUUUAUUGGGUUUAAGGGAGCGUAGGCCGGAGAUUAAGCGUGUUGUGAAAUGUAGAUGCUCAACAUCUGCACUGCAGCGCGAGCUGGUUUCCUUGAGUACGCACAAAGUGGGCGGAAUUCGUGGUGUAGCGGUGAAAUGCUUAGAUAUCACGAAGAACUCCGAUUGCGAAGGCAGCUCACUGGAGCGCAACUGACGCUGAAGCUCGAAAGUGCGGGUAUCGAACAGGAUUAGAUACCCUGGUAGUCCGCACGGUAAACGAUGGAUGCCCGCUGUUGGUCUGAAUAGGUCAGCGGCCAAGCGAAAGCAUUAAGCAUCCCACCUGGGGAGUACGCCGGCAACGGUGCAACUCAAAGGAAUUGACGA
Molecule: ribosomal RNA, 924 nt
Filed under: uncultured Bacteroidota bacterium
Lineage: Bacteria; Pseudomonadati; Bacteroidota
Description: bacterial SSU rRNA
Rfam family: Bacterial small subunit ribosomal RNA
Source: RNAcentral